AAGGAUUUAUCCUGGUUCAGUUGUCAACUUGACAACCUACAUCCAGUCCUGAAAAUCCAAACGGAUUUCAGAUUUUCUUCUCCAAUAGAAAGAAUCAAUUACAGAUUGUCCAGUUUCCUCCCCGAAACCUAUCUAUCUUAAUGAUCUCUUUCCUAUUGAUUACCCUCUGAUCCUUGUAGAUACUCGUCAACCUAUCACAGAAUCACAGUGCGACUCUUUCUUGUUGAGCACUCUCACCCAAGAAAGUAGCCACCAGUUUCUAGCUGGCUUUCUAUCAACCCUUUGAUCCUUGUAGACAAUCGGCAGCCUAACACAAAAUCAAAGUACGACUCUUUCUUGUUGAGACCUCUCACCCAAGAAAGUAGCCACCAAUUUCUAGCUGGGUUUUUAACGUUCGUUUCGUUUCAAAGUAUUGUUACAGAAUGAAUAAAAGAAGUACAAAACAAAAGUCUUCAAUCUUGAUCAAAGUCUUCUCACGAAUCUGGAUAUUCAAUGAUUGUUCAUGAGGAAAAAGUCUUUGCUCUCAAGAUUACUUUUUCUUUUCUUUCUCCCAAUGAAUAUAGAUGAUCCUUUAUCUUGAUCUGAAAAAGCAGUAUCAGAUUUGUUAACAAAGUGUAUGUUGAUCUGUAAUCAAAGUUAUCUUGAGUUCUUAGAAAAGUGAAACGUUAUGAUCAAAGUUCUUCUUAGAAAAAGAUUGAAAGACAGUUUAUAUAGUUUCUGAAAAACAACUGCUAAAUCGAUUUCCCAAUCGAUUUAUUAAAGUUAAAACACAUGCUUAAUCGAUUUGCCAAUCGAUUUCGCGAGUCUUGUUUUUCUUUAAUCUUGAAACUAUAUAAG
RNAcentral lists this long non-coding RNA (837 nucleotides) under Cicer arietinum (chickpea). RNAcentral describes it as "long non-coding RNA (CARI_LNC000198)". Lineage: Eukaryota; Viridiplantae; Streptophyta; Magnoliopsida; Fabales; Fabaceae. The record is from RNAcentral.